GAGGGAGAACUUACUGCCUUGUAGGAGGAGGAAAGCUAGCACCUUGGACAGAGCAGGAGUGAGAGCGAGUGAGAGCGAGCUCCUGGCUGACUGCUAAGAUGGCAUGCUGAGGCCCUGAGAUAAGGGUGGAGAAGGUACUGGGGCUGCAGGGAAAUGGCCCAGUGAAGUAGACUGGGAGGCUGGAGGCCACGCAGUGCGUGGCUGCCAUUUACAGGGUCCCUGGGCUGGGACCUCGAGUAAUGGCCAGGCCCAGGUUCCCCCUCACUCCCACUUGCCACUGAGGAAGUGCUGGACCAUUGGACUGCAGUACAUUCCCCCGGAAAGGGGGAGCACAAAGUGUGGCACAUUCGGAGGGCUGUGUCCUGAAGAGGACGCCACGGUCUUUGGAGCAACAUGGGUCCAGGACUGGAAAUGGUGGUGGGCGAGACACCACCGAGAGUUGGCAUACCUAUCUGUGGAGCUGAUCUGCAGGAUGACCAGCAGGAGGUGCUAGUGUGGUGAGUCACACCCUAUCACAGUCCAGGGAAGCAAGGACCAGAGGCUGGACCAUGAGUACUGAGUCCAAGUGGUGUCUGCUUGGGGAGUAAACUGAUGCUAGCCACAUCUGGAGGGGCCUGAGGCACAGACUUGUAUACUGUACCAUCAGGCCCAGCGCUGUGAAGGUAGCUUGGACUGUGUUGAUGCUGUUCUGUACUUGGGCCUAUGAGCGGCCUUUGAUCAGCCAGUUGAGGUACAGGUGGACUCACCCCAUCGCCUGAGGGCUCCUGUCUUGGAGGUGCAGAGAACCAAGGAGGCUGUUAGGGCCUGAAGUGCUUCCUGGAAGCUGAUGGGGGUAUAAAGGCCUAAGGAGUGCAGGGUGGCCCUCGAGUCUCGUGUGUGUCUGUUCCAAAAAAAAAGAGCAGCCUUCAAAGGGGAGGUUCUGGACAGAUUGUUGGACCUCUUCUGGGAGUUCGCAGGACUGGAGCCAAGAAUCACCUCAUGGUGAUGGCUGAGGACACUGUCCUGACUGCCCAGUUGGCUGCAUCCAGAGCUGCCUGAUUGGAGGUCCUGGCUACAUUCUUACCCUCUUCCAGGAGGGCAGUGAACUCCCGCCUCAACACAUGUGGCAGUGAGUCUUUAAAUUUACAUGCGG
Mauremys reevesii (Reeves's turtle) is the source of this 1132-nucleotide long non-coding RNA. RefSeq lists it as uncharacterized. The record is from RefSeq and is a predicted model, not a curated record. Lineage: Eukaryota; Metazoa; Chordata; Testudines; Geoemydidae. The transcript has 4 exons.